CCAAUAGCGUAUAUUAAAGUUGUUGCAGUUAAAAAGCUCGUAGUUGAAUUUCGGAAUCAAUAUAUCGGUCGUGCCUCUGGUACGCACUUAUUUAUUGAUUUCUCACUUCUGACGAAUCAUAAUGUCAUUAGUUUGGUGUUAUGAGGAAUCAGGACUGUUACUUUGAAAAAAUUAGAGUGUUUAAAGCAGGCUCGCGCUUGAAUACAUUAGCAUGGAAUAAUGAAAUAGGAUGUUUGAUCUUAUUUUGUUGGUUUCUAGGAUCGACAUAAUGAUUAAUAGGGAUAGUUGGGGGCAUUAGUAUUCAAUUGUCAGAGGUGAAAUUCUUGGAUUUAUUGAAGACUAACUACUGCGAAAGCAGUUGCCAAGGAUGUUUUCAUUAAUCAAGAACGAAAGUUAGGGGAUCGAAGACGAUCAGAUACCGUCGUAGUCUUAACCAUAAACUAUGCCGACUAGGGAUCGGAUGAGGUUAUUUUUUAAUGACUCAUUCGGCACCUUACG
This 498-nucleotide unclassified non-coding RNA is filed under the name uncultured Glomus. Its description in RNAcentral is "SSU rRNA". It matches the Rfam family "Eukaryotic small subunit ribosomal RNA", at positions 591 to 1092 of the family's 1831-position model. Lineage: Eukaryota; Fungi; Glomeromycota; Glomeromycetes; Glomerales; Glomeraceae. The record is from RNAcentral.